RNAcentral lists this ribosomal RNA (200 nucleotides) under uncultured bacterium. RNAcentral's name for it is "partial 16S ribosomal RNA". It matches the Rfam family "Bacterial small subunit ribosomal RNA", at positions 8 to 209 of the family's 1533-position model. The record is from RNAcentral.
AGAGUUUGAUCAUGGCUCAGGACGAACGCUGACGGUGUGCUUCAUACAUGCAAGUCGUACGAAGAGGCCCUUUCGGGGGUACUUCAGUGGCGGACGGGUGAGUAACACGUAGGUAACAUGCCUCAUAUUGGGGGAUAACAUCGGGAAACCGGUGCUAAUACCGCAUACGCCAAGAGUUGAAAUACUUUUGGUUAAAGGAG